AAGGUAACAAACAAUACUGAAACCACACACACACACACACACACACACACACACACACACCAUUGUCCAAGAUAUUUAGCAUAGGUCAGAUGACAGGAAGAAGCGGGGCAGGGAGUAAGGAAACAGAAAUUACCCAGAAGGAAGAGGAAGAAGACUCCAGUUAUUUAAAGUACCAUUCCAUUCAGGUGUUUAUGUUGGACAAUCAGCAGCAGAUGGUGACUCAUGCCUUUGGGGAGUAUUUUAAAAUGAAACUUCUUUCCUAUUGUAAGAGUUCUGAGUUCAGCAGGAUAUGAGACACUCCCUCCUCAGAGCUAUUUCCGCAUGCACACAAGUGAAUCAUAUGGCCAUCCAAACUCCUUAUCUUCAUCAAAAAGCUUGAGGAGGAAGUAUCUGGAAAUCUUUACAUUGAUUUCUCAGUGAUCCAGCCAUGCACUGUUUCGCUAAGUGAACAUUGAAAAGAUGAAGGUAACACUUAUCUGGAAGAAAUGUAACAAUUAAAUGAGAUAAAACAAUGAAACACUCUCUGUCACUGUCCAGGGAUUCAGUCCUAUACUUCUUUGGAUGUUCAUCAAGCUAGUACAAUGUCUUAUUUGUAGAAGACAUUCCAAAAAUAAUCAUCCC
Long non-coding RNA from Perognathus longimembris pacificus (Pacific pocket mouse), 621 nucleotides. RefSeq lists it as uncharacterized. Lineage: Eukaryota; Metazoa; Chordata; Mammalia; Rodentia; Heteromyidae. The transcript is spliced from 3 exons. The record is from RefSeq and is a predicted model, not a curated record.